Molecule: ribosomal RNA, 492 nt
Filed under: uncultured bacterium
Lineage: Bacteria
Description: partial 16S ribosomal RNA
Rfam family: Bacterial small subunit ribosomal RNA
Source: RNAcentral
AGUGAACGCUGGCGGUAGGCCUAACACAUGCCAGUCGAACGGCAGCACAGUAAGAGCUUGCUCUUACGGGUGGCGAGUGGCGGACGGGUGAGGAAUACAUCGGAAUCUACUUUUUCGUGGGGGAUAACGUAGGGAAACUUACGCUAAUACCGCAUACGACCUACGGGUGAAAGCAGGGGAUCUUCGGACCUUGCGCGAUUGAAUGAGCCGAUGUCGGAUUAGCUAGUUGGGGGGGUAAAGGCCCACCAAGGCGACGAUCCGUAGCUGGUCUGAGAGGAUGAUCAGCCACACUGGAACUGAGACACGGUCCAGACUCCUACGGGAGGCAGCAGUGGGGAAUAUUGGACAAUGGGCGCAAGCCUGAUCCAGCCAUACCGCGUGGGUGAAGAAGGCCUUCGGGUUGUAAAGCCCUUUUGUUGGGAAAGAAAAGCAGCAGGUUAAUACCCCGCUGUUCUGACGGUACCCAAAGAAUUAGCACCGGCUAACUUCGUG